CAGCAGCCGCGGUAAUACAGAGGGUGCGAGCGUUAAUCGGAUUUACUGGGCGUAAAGCGUGCGUAGGCGGCUAAUUGAGUCGGAUGUGAAAUCCCCGAGCUUAACUUGGGAAUUGCAUUCGAUACUGGUUAGCUAGAGUGUGGGAGAGGAUGGUAGAAUUCCAGGUGUAGCGGUGAAAUGCGUAGAGAUCUGGAGGAAUACCGAUGGCGAAGGCAGCCAUCUGGCCUAACACUGACGCUGAGGUACGAAAGCAUGGGGAGCAAACAGGAUUAGAUACCCCGGUAGUCCCUGUCUCUUAUAA
Molecule: ribosomal RNA, 301 nt
Filed under: uncultured bacterium
Lineage: Bacteria
Description: partial 16S ribosomal RNA
Rfam family: Bacterial small subunit ribosomal RNA
Source: RNAcentral